GUCCACACCCUAAACGAUGUUUACUCGUUGUUUGUCUUUCGGGAUGAGCGACCAAGCGAAAGCGUUAAGUAAACCACCUGGGGAGUACGCCGGCAACGGUGAAACUCAAAGGAAUUGACGGGGUCCGCACAAGCGGUGGAGCAUGUGGUUUAAUUCGAUGAUACGCGAGGAACCUUACCUGGGCUAGAAUGUGAGCGAAUGUGAAUGAAAGUUUGCAGUCCGCAAGGACGCGAAACAAGGUGCUGCAUGGCUGUCGU
RNAcentral lists this ribosomal RNA (257 nucleotides) under uncultured bacterium. RNAcentral's name for it is "partial 16S ribosomal RNA". It matches the Rfam family "Bacterial small subunit ribosomal RNA", at positions 793 to 1055 of the family's 1533-position model. The record is from RNAcentral.